AAGACUAUAGACCUGCGGAGUACCUGCGGAAGGAUCAUUAAAGAGAAAACUGCCCUUUGGGUAGAUUUCCCACCCUUUGUUUACUUUACCUUUGUUGCUUUGGCAGGCCCGUCUUCUGACCACCGGCUUCUAGCUGGUCCGUGCCUGCCAGAGGACCCCCAACUCUUGAUUUUAAGUUGUCCGAGUCUUAUAUAAUAGUAAAAACUUUCAACAAUGGAUCUCUAGAUCGGAAGAGCACAC
This 240-nucleotide unclassified non-coding RNA is filed under the name soil metagenome. Its description in RNAcentral is "partial contains 5.8S ribosomal RNA, internal transcribed spacer 2, and large subunit ribosomal RNA". The record is from RNAcentral.